AUUAAUUUUACUUGUUUGUCUAGAAUUAAAUGAGAAUUUAAUUACUUGUUAGUUUCUAAAUAAAUUUCAUUUUGAUUUGGUGUAUCUUUUUAAGAUGCCUUGUAUUCAAUGAGCAACAUAAUUUCAAUUGAACUCCAAUUUUAUCAUUUAAAUUUUAAGCAUAAUGAAAGUACGAAUGUGGAAUGUGGUAUGAAAAAUAUUAUUUGCUUAUCUGUUUAAUGUUAUUAUUAAUUAUUUGCUG
This 241-nucleotide unclassified non-coding RNA is filed under the name Hevea brasiliensis (rubber tree). Lineage: Eukaryota; Viridiplantae; Streptophyta; Magnoliopsida; Malpighiales; Euphorbiaceae. The record is from RNAcentral.